Molecule: non-coding RNA, 73 nt
Organism: Xylariales sp. AK1849
Lineage: Eukaryota; Fungi; Ascomycota; Sordariomycetes; Xylariales
Source: the annotation of a GenBank genome assembly
CGUAGCUAGGCCGAGUGGUAAGGCGCAGAGUUUUUGGACUCUGAGAACGUGGGUUCGAUUCCCAUAGCUGUCG